This 1203-nucleotide ribosomal RNA is filed under the name metagenome. Its description in RNAcentral is "SSU rRNA". It matches the Rfam family "Eukaryotic small subunit ribosomal RNA", at positions 670 to 1775 of the family's 1831-position model. The record is from RNAcentral.
UGUACUGUCCACUCGGUCUUACAUUGCUUCUGGAUGCUCGGCGCUGCUCUUAACUGAGUGGCGCUUCAGGCCGGGAGGUGCCUUCGCGGGUGCCUUUCGCGCCGGAGUUCCAGAUCCAUUACUUUGAGAAAAUUAGAGUGUUCAAAGCAGGCUGUUUGCAGCCCUGAAUACAUUAGCAUGGGAUAAUGCGAUUUGGACUUCGGUCCUCAUCUCGUUGGUUUCUGAGGUGCGCCGAGUCAGGAUUAAUAGGGAUAGUUGGGGUGAUUAGUAUUCAGGCGUCAGAGGUGAAAUUCUUGGACCGCCUGAAGACUAACUUGUGCGAAAGCAUUUCACAAGGAUGUUUUCAUUAAUCAAGAACGAAAGUUGGGGGAUCGAAGACGAUCAGAUACCGUCGUAGUCUCAACCAUAAACCAUGCUGACCAGGGAUCGGGAGACGUCGUAUUUCCAAGGACUCCCCCGGCACCUUGUGAGAAAUCAUAAGUGUCUGGGCUUCGGGGGGAGUAUGGUCGCAAGGCUGAAACUUAAAGGAAUUGACGGAAGGGCACCACCAGGAGUGGAGCCUGCGGCUUAAUUUGACCCAACACGGGGAAACUCACCAGGUUCGGACAGCAGAAGGAUUGACAGAUUGAUAGCUCUUUCUUGAUUUGCUGGGUGGUGGUGCAUGGCCGUUCUUAGUUGGUGGAGUGAUUUGUCUGGUUGAUUCCGUUAACGAACGAGACCUUAACCUGCUAAAUAGUUACGCCAGCCUUCUCGUUACGCCCGGUGCGGUGGUGGGUUCGCUUGCUGCCGUGCUGGGUGGGAACGGCUGAGCCGGUAACUUCUUAGAGGGACUAUUCGCGUCUAGCGAAUGGAAGUUUGAGGCAAUAACAGGUCUGUGAUGCCCUUCGAUAUCCUGGGCUGCACGCGCGCUACACUGACAGAGUCAACGAGUUCAAACUUGGCCUUGGCCGAUGGGUCUGGGUAAUCUUGUGAAACUCUGUCGUGCUGGGGAUAGAUCAUUGCAAUUAUUGAUCUUCAACGAGGAAUUCCUAGUAAGCGUGAGUCAUCAGCUCGCGUUGAUUACGUCCCUGCCCUUUGUACACACCGCCCGUCGCUCCUACCGAUGGACGAAUCGGUGAAGACCUCAGACGGUGACACCGGGCGCCGAGCGGGGUAACUCGCUGGCGUCUUGCUUGCCAGAAGUAGUCUAAACCACUUCGUCUA